GAUGAACGCUGGCGGCGUGCUUAACACAUGCAAGUCGAACGAUGAAGCCCAGCUUGCUGGGUGGAUUAGUGGCGAACGGGUGAGUAACACGUGAGUAACCUGCCCUUAACUCUGGGAUAAGCCUGGGAAACUGGGUCUAAUACCGGAUAGGAGCGCCUACCGCAUGGUGGGUGUUGGAAAGAUUUAUCGGUUUUGGAUGGACUCGCGGCCUAUCAGCUUGUUGGUGAGGUAAUGGCUCACCAAGGCGACGACGGGUAGCCGGCCUGAGAGGGUGACCGGCCACACUGGGACUGAGACACGGCCCAGACUCCUACGGGAGGCAGCAGUGGGGAAUAUUGCACAAUGGGCGAAAGCCUGAUGCAGCGACGCCGCGUGAGGGAUGACGGCCUUCGGGUUGUAAACCUCUUUCAGUAGGGAAGAAGCGAAAGCGACGGUACCUGCAGAAGAAGCACCGGCUAACUACGUG
RNAcentral lists this ribosomal RNA (466 nucleotides) under uncultured bacterium. Its description in RNAcentral is "partial 16S ribosomal RNA". It matches the Rfam family "Bacterial small subunit ribosomal RNA", at positions 28 to 507 of the family's 1533-position model. The record is from RNAcentral.